UCCAUCUCCGCCCUGGACAUCGCUCACUCUCUUCCUGGGCUGUCAAGGAGACAGAAGGGCAUGGGGCUCAUCUGUCUCCCUUCUCUGAGAGCUGCUCCUAGCAAGAGGAGGAGGAGGGCAGGGCAGGGCAGGAUUUCCCUCCAUCAUGCUUGCUGCCAGUUAAAGGUAAUUCCUUCCUGAAGGAGUCCAUCCAACAGGCUGGUCCCAACACUAUGGUGAUAACAAUGAGACCUACACAUAGUCUCACCAGCCACGCCUCACUCUUCCCUUUCCAGGUCACCAGACAUAAUGGAGCUUCCUUUGGUCAGCGACUCGGCAGCAAACAGUUGACGUACUCGUCUGAGAAGCCGGUCUUUUGGGUGCCUGGCAUCUCUUCCCUCCACCCCACCCCUCCUUCAAUUAAGGCAAGGGACUUAAGAAACAGAAUGGACUCCAUUCAAGUCACCUCAAGGUCUUUUGCCAAAAGUCAACAGAAACUUUCACUGCGUGGAAAUCUACAGCUGUAAAGAGACCCAAAGAAGGUAGAAUUCUUGGAUGUUCCGUAGGGGUGGGGACCUCUUCAUCGAGCUGGAAGCUGCCAUUUUCCCCUACUCUCUGGGAGAGGCAAGCAUGGUAUGGCAGACUCUGAAAUCGGAGGUCCUGGAAUUCACCUCCUGACUCUGGUGCCCACUAGCUGUAUGACCCUGAGGAAGUGACUGACUCUCCCUGGGCCUGUUUCUUUGGCCUCAUUCCCCUGGCCCAGCGGGUCUCUCAGCUCCCUUCUAAUCCUAGAUCAAUGAUUAUUUGCUUAAGAGUUGUUGAUCAUGGUAAGACUGGCAUGAACUG
Long non-coding RNA from Dromiciops gliroides (monito del monte), 825 nucleotides. RefSeq lists it as uncharacterized. NCBI's taxonomy places the organism in Eukaryota, Metazoa, Chordata, Mammalia, Microbiotheria, Microbiotheriidae. The record is from RefSeq and is a predicted model, not a curated record. The transcript has 4 exons.